GCCAAUCAGGUAUUACCGUUGUUCAGUGACAAACUGAUUCACUGCCUGACUCUCACAGUUCAGCGAAAAAUUACUGUACUUCAAAAGGCAUUCCUGAAACGCUAAUGUCUUUAUAAAGGCCCUAGUGGAGAUCAUUGGGAAACCUCAGCUCACUGCCUUGAGUCAGCCAGCCACACCUGGAACCCCUCUGGAGUGUCAACAAUACCUACUACUAUAAUCUCCACACGCAGCAGUACAUGUACUGGGACGGGGAACGACAUAUGUAUGUUCCUGCUUCAUCACAGACUUCGGAAGACACAACAGACUCUGUGACCUCUGACCUUUCAGUUGCACUCAACAUUGACAAGGACAAGAAGAACAAGCCCAAGAAUAAGACUGCACAGCAAGUUUUAGUAGGUGAUGGUAGCCAAAGACAUGGAGCGGUGGGCGAAAAGUCUGAACAGGCAGAAGGAGAAUGUGCGGUCUUCCUCACUCAACACAAGCUCUCGGCUGCAGGGUAGACCUGACGACCAGCGGGAGUCUGCCAGCGCUGAUGCGGGCUACGCCGUCCUGGAGAUGAAGCAAAAUCUAGAGCAGAGGAGAGCGGGACAAGCCCAGCUCGAGAGACAAGAGCGAUCAGAAACAGAGGUGGUGCUCUAUUUCAGCUGAAAUAGAGGGACCGGGCAGCAGAGAGGAGGGAGAAAUGGACUGUCCCCCAACAUCCUGAUGCCAAAAAGAGGAGAUACAGCCCUGUUGGUGUUGGAUCUCAGAUGCUUCCAGAAGGGAUGGAGAAACGCUUUUUUAUUUGGAACCUCCCGGUGGAAUAAAAUAGUUGAUCUUGGGAAUUCCUUUUCCUUCUGGACUACUGUAAAUGGCAUGUACACAGUGUUUGUUUAAAGAGCAAAACUGCAACUAAAACAUUUUCAUUAGGUUAUGUUACUUAAAAUUAAGAUCAUCUGGAAAUGUGCAGAUGUUUGUGGAAAAAAUAAUUUAGAACUAUUUUUUGGAUUUUUUUUUUAAAUCAGAAAGGAACCCUUGGGAA
Xyrauchen texanus (razorback sucker) is the source of this 1021-nucleotide long non-coding RNA. RefSeq lists it as uncharacterized. The record is from RefSeq and is a predicted model, not a curated record. The transcript is spliced from 6 exons. Lineage: Eukaryota; Metazoa; Chordata; Actinopteri; Cypriniformes; Catostomidae.